CGAACGGUGAAGCCCUUCGGGGUGGAUCAGUGGCGAACGGGUGAGUAACACGUGGGCAAUCUGCCCUGCACUCUGGGACAAGCCCUGGAAACGGGGUCUAAUACCGGAUAUGACCUUCCUCCGCAUGGGGGUUGGUGGAAAGCUCCGGCGGUGCAGGAUGAGCCCGCGGCCUAUCAGCUUGUUGGUGGGGUAAUGGCCUACCAAGGCGACGACGGGUAGCCGGCCUGAGAGGGCGACCGGCCACACUGGGACUGAGACACGGCCCAGACUCCUACGGGAGGCAGCAGUGGGGAAUAUUGCACAAUGGGCGCAAGCCUGAUGCAGCGACGCCGCGUGAGGGAUGACGGCCUUCGGGUUGUAAACCUCUUUCAGCAGGGAAGAAGCGCAAGUGACGGUACCUGCAGAAGAAGCACCGGCUAACUACGUGCCAGCAGCCGCGGUAAUACGUAGGGUGCGAGCGUUGUCCGGAAUUAUUGGGCGUAAAGAGCUCGUAGGCGGCCUGUCGCGUCGGAUGUGAAAGCCCGGGGCUUAACCCCGGGUCUGCAUUCGAUACGGGCAGGCUAGAGUGUGGUAGGGGAGAUCGGAAUUCCUGGUGUAGCGGUGAAAUGCGCAGAUAUCAGGAGGA
RNAcentral lists this ribosomal RNA (625 nucleotides) under Streptomyces sp. ANA3010. Its description in RNAcentral is "bacterial SSU rRNA". It matches the Rfam family "Bacterial small subunit ribosomal RNA", at positions 63 to 705 of the family's 1533-position model. The record is from RNAcentral. Lineage: Bacteria; Bacillati; Actinomycetota; Actinomycetes; Kitasatosporales; Streptomycetaceae.